This 671-nucleotide long non-coding RNA is filed under the name Elaeis guineensis (African oil palm). Its description in RNAcentral is "long non-coding RNA (EGUI_LNC077080)". Lineage: Eukaryota; Viridiplantae; Streptophyta; Magnoliopsida; Arecales; Arecaceae. The record is from RNAcentral.
GUCCGGACUCCUAAGAGAGUCGGACUUCGCCCCCGACUUUGAUUGCAGGCAGACUUCGCCCGGGCUCUUACGGGAGCCAGAUCUUGUCUCCGACUCCAGCUGCGGGAAGACUCCGUCCGGACUCCUACGGGAGCCAGACCUCGUUCCCGACUCUGGCUGCAGGCGGACUUCACCCGGACUCCUACGGGAGCCGGGCUCCGCCCACGACUUCACUUACAGGUAAAUUUCGUCCGGAUUCCUCCGUGAGCCGGAAUUCACCCACAACUCCAGUUGCAGGAAGACUCAGCCCGGACUCCUACGGGAGCCGGAUCUCGUCUCUGACUCCGAUCGAAGGAAGACUCCAUCCGAACUUCAUCCCUGAUCUCGACUGCUGGAAGGCUUCCCCCGGACUCCUAUGAGAGCCGGGCUCUGUCCUCGACCCUGACUGCUGGUAAACUUCGUCCGGACUCCUAAGGGAGGCGGACUUCACCCCCGACUUUGAUUGCAGGCGGACUUCGCCCGGGCUCCUACGGGAGCCAGAUCUCAUCUCUGACUCCAGCUGCAGGAAGACUCCGCCCGAACAUCUACGGGAGUCGGACCUCGUUCCUGACUCCGGCUGCAGGCGGAUUUCGCCUGGACUCCUAUGGGAGCCGGGCUCCGCCCGCGACUUCACUUACAGGUAAACUUCGUCC